GCCUUCAUGGUCUAGUUGGUUAUGACAUAGGUCUCAUAAUCCUGGGGUCGGCAGUUCGAACCUGUCUGAGGGCA
This 74-nucleotide transfer RNA is filed under the name Beauveria bassiana. RNAcentral's name for it is "tRNA-Val". It matches the Rfam family "tRNA". Rfam says of the family: Transfer RNA (tRNA) molecules are approximately 80 nucleotides in length. Their secondary structure includes four short double-helical elements and three loops (D, anti-codon, and T loops). RNAcentral also lists the same sequence under 1 other name. Lineage: Eukaryota; Fungi; Ascomycota; Sordariomycetes; Hypocreales; Cordycipitaceae. The record is from RNAcentral.